Molecule: RNA transcript, 6098 nt
Organism: Tympanuchus pallidicinctus (lesser prairie-chicken)
Lineage: Eukaryota; Metazoa; Chordata; Aves; Galliformes; Phasianidae
Gene: KHDRBS2
Gene name: KH RNA binding domain containing, signal transduction associated 2
Exons: 14
Source: RefSeq, a predicted model, not a curated record
UGCCAGGCGCGGAGGGAGCCGCGCACUCCCCAGCCCCCGCCCCCCUGCGCGGCCGGGGGACGGCGGAGGCGGUGCCGGGGCGGGGAGCGCCCCCCGGGCAGGGGAGGCCGGGCCGGGCGACAGCUGCGAGCCGUGGGGCGCCGGGCGGGGCGGGCGCUGAGGAGGCAGCCGGCGGCCGCGCAGCCCGCCCCGGCUUGCCCAGGCGGCGCGGCCCCGAGGCGAUGGAGCAGGAGAAGUACCUGCCCGAGCUGAUGGCCGAGAAGGACAGCCUGGAUCCCUCCUUUGUGCACGCCAUGCGCCUUCUGGCCGACGAAAUUGAAAAAUUUCAGGGUUCUGAAGGAAAGAAGGAAGAUGAGGAAAAGAAAUACCUUGAUGUUAUCAGCAACAAGAACAUAAAGUUGUCAGAGAGAGUUCUGAUCCCUGUCAAACAAUACCCAAAGUUCAAUUUUGUUGGGAAGUUGCUUGGACCAAGAGGGAACUCCUUGAAGAGGUUACAAGAAGAAACAGGAGCAAAAAUGUCUAUCCUGGGAAAAGGCUCCAUGAGGGAUAAAGCUAAGGAGGAAGAACUGAGGAAAAGUGGAGAAGCUAAAUAUGCGCAUUUGAGUGAUGAGCUUCAUGUAUUAAUUGAAGUGUUUGCUCCACCUGGGGAAGCAUAUUCUCGUAUGAGUCAUGCCUUGGAAGAAAUAAAAAAAUUCCUCGUUCCUGAUUAUAAUGAUGAAAUUCGUCAGGAGCAACUGAGAGAGCUGUCAUAUUUGAAUGGUUCCGAGGAUUCAGCACGUGGACGGGGUAUUCGAGGAAGAGGGAUCCGUGUGCCGCCUGCAGCUCCUUCAAGGGGCCGUGGGGGUGCGAUUCCUCCGCCCCUCCCUGGACGAGGUGCCCAAGCACCCAGAGGAGCACCAGUGACUCGUGGAGCUCUCCCCGUCCCACCUGUAGCAAGAGGUGUUCCCACACCUCGAGCAAGGGGGGCCCCAGCGGUACCAGGCUACAGACCACCCCCACCACCUGCACAUGAGGCAUAUGAAGGAUAUGGAUAUGAUGAUGGAUAUGGGGGUGAAUAUGAUGAUCCAAGCUAUGAGACGUAUGAUAACAGUUAUGCCACCCAAACACAAAGUGUGCCUGAAUAUUAUGACUACGGUCACGGAACAAGUGAAGAGGCUUAUGACAGCUACGCACAAGAAGAAUGGGCCACAACCCGUUCCAGCCUAAAGGCACCUCCUCCAAGGUCAGCUCGAGGUGCUUACAGGGAACACCCCUAUGGUAGAUAUUGAAGGUCCUCCUCAUCUGUGACCUCAACUCAAAGACAAUUAAUAGCCUGUGGUCUCCGCAUAAACAGCAACAAGACAAGGCUCUGGACAGCUAAGCAGCCAAUCUGCUGAGAAGUGCUCAGGUACAGAGUACUUCAUUAUGUGCGCGAACAGAAAUGCUUAAAUGGAUGAAGCAGCUAUUUACGUAUGAUAGGAGCUAAGUGGGACAUUAAAUUAAUGCCAAACAAACCUGAUGGAUCCCAGAAGGUGAACCCGUAAUCAAGUCUUUAUUGGGGACUUCUUGACAAGACCAGCUCCAGCCACUGUUCCUCAUCUCAUACAAGGUGUUCUGGAAUGGCUUUCCUUCAGCCCCACAGCAGGACAAGCAACCAAGUGCUCCAGAGAGCCAAGUGAAUUGUUACCUGUCAUAGCAUCCCAAUGUUCAUCUCUUAAUACUUGUGGGUGUGAUACAAACCACCUAAAAGAGAUUAACUGUGUCUUUCACUGCCCAGACUAGACUGUUUCCUGUGUUCCAUCAGUGCAGUUCUGCUGCUGCACAUUUUGGUUUGGUUAGCAGACCUUUAAUCAAGAAAAAAAAAUCUAAUGAGCAGCAAUUUGAAAUACAGCAUUUGGAAAGGUCAAAAUGGUACAUUACAUCCUUAUUAUCCAAAAGAACAGAUGAGUUUAAUAUCCUGACAGCAUUUUCCUGUGAAGAAGAUAUUAAACAAGAACUGAAAAUGGCACAAGGUUCCCUCUUUCUGUCUUUUGACAAAGAUUGUAACAAGAUGAUGAAAUUGUAUAGAAUAAAUCUCAUCCUGCUUUAAUGUUCAGGCUGGGGAUCUUGCCUAGAUUUCAAACAUCUAAGCUAAUAAAGAGACAAAAUAUAUGCUAUUUUUUUCAGGUAUACCCACAUGGAGCAGAAGACUUUUACCAUGUAUUUUCCUAGUUACAUGACCCAGUUUCCAUCAAUAUUUUCUAGAUUUAAAAAUAGGAAUAGUUGCUAACAGAAGGUAUGUAAUGCAUCUAAUUUCAAGAAGUAGAGCUUUGAACUGCAACAGAUAAUGCUCUGCAUCAAAACGGCUUCAAAUGUAAAUUUUUCAGCUUCCUUUUGAAAGACUGCAUAACACAAAGAAUUAAUUCCAACACACAAUGCAUUGUAUGUAUUCUGCUCUGGCGAGUCCCUGACAAUGUGGAACUGUUUGAAGGCAAAGGAAUUUGCACUAUAUCCCAUUGAUUGUUAGCAAUUCAAUUAAGAUAUGGAACUGUCACAAUUUGUUGUCUUAAAUCUUGUUAAAUUGGCCCUCGUGUUAAAUCUUAUUAUUACAGUCGAAAAAAUGCUGUGCUUAAAAAUCAAAACAUGAAUAUACAACAUGCACCUUUAUUAUUAUGACAUGCACUUGUAUUCAUUCCACAUGAGACAUGAGAAAUCUGCUGUUACAUAAGAGCAUAACAAGUUAUAUAAUAAAAGCUUUCAUGAUUAUUAAAGAAAAACAAAUUAUAUGAUUCCAAAAGGUACACCUCUUCAAGUAUAGCUGGCUGAAGUAGAUGUACAUGGCUUUGAAGAAGAACUCAUAAGUAGAAAUCAUAUGGAACCUCUUUUUUCUUCACCAUCUAGAGAAUAUAUCUGAAAAAAUAUCUUCGUGGUACUUUACGUGCAGUACCUUGCUGAGAAAACCCAUUCUGCUCUGGGCAAGUGAGAGAAGAUGAACAUGGCCCAAAUAUGUUUUCCAAGCCUUGAAUGAAAAAAAUGUUUUUUGUUUUUGUUUUCUUAGGUGGUCUUAUUUUCCACUGGAAACUGUAGAUACCUCCCUUGUUUUGCAACUGAAAUGCAGAAUAGCUUUUUGAAUGCAUUGGUAAUGUGUGACCAGUUUCGAAACUUCAGAAGUUUUGCAAAACUACAGAAAAGAAGAUCCCUGAAGGGUGCUAAUGUCCAUAAGCAUUUAUGAAAUGAAUGUUUUCCAUGUGUCUAGAAGAAAUCCACUGAAUAACAUUUAAAGUUUAUAAAGAGUUCAUUGUGAUUUAGUUAAUAGCUCCUGAAACUAAAAUGACAAGUAGCUCUUUUUUGCUUCCAAACCAGAAAUAUAAACAGGUUAUGAAGUCUCCAGAAAACAAUAAGCAAAACUGUUUUUCAGUGAUUUGUUGUUCACAGUUCAGAUUCAUGGAUUUUUACCACGUGAAUUACAAAGAAAUUGGGCCAUAUAUAAUUCUGCUAUUAAGAAAUAAAAUACAUGCUGUUGUUACCCAAUUUUUAAAAAUCAGUUAUAGAAUGACUGAGUAGAGAACCCAGGGUACUGAGGGGAGUCUCAGCAUGUAAUGGCACAAACAACUCCAACAGUUCUUAGAGAGAGAGUACCAAAUAUCUAUAGAAGCCAGUGGCAUUUCUUACACUUUUUUUCAGUUUUCUCCUGAUUAUGCAAAAUGCUGUUACCGUGUCACACACUAUUUAACGUGGGAACUACCUUGAAUACAUUAGGCAGCUUUAUUUAGUUAUUUCAUGAAAUAGAUUUUUUCCAGUAGGUGAUCACAGUAAUUCUGUUUUGAAAAAUUACCAAAACAAUCAACUGUACCUUGUGAACCAAUAUACCAGUUUGCAGUGAACUUUUAAGAGGUACCUACUUCCCUGAUUUACCUUCAAUAAAUCAGAUUAUGAUUGGGCAUUGCUGUGAAAUCUUUCACUAAUGAAGGAAGGACGUUAAGAAUAAAAUCUGAAUGUAAAAUGUUGGACCUGUGAAACCAUGAGUCACAUCUCAAAGCAAGGGAUAUUCCUUAAAUUAAUGGCAGAUUGAAAAUAAUAAUUCAGCUGAUGGAAAAUCUUUCGUAUUGAAGUAAGGUCCUAAAAGAGAGAAGUCAAAACACAGCUGACCAUGUGCAGCACACACAUUCCCACACAGAUGGCUUUGCACCAGGAGGAGCUGGUUUAUUGUAAUCCCUCUAAGAAAAGUAUCAUGAAGUAUUAGUUAAAAUACAAUUUACUGCAGCUGAUACUGUACAGAAAAUGAGUGCAUUACAUGUAGCUGUUUGUUCCUUUGGAUACUGGGAACUUCAUUAUGGGCCUCCAAGCAGGGCACAGAAUCCUGUGUAGAACUUCUGCAUAGAAAAAUUACCCAGUAUUCUAGUCUUUUGAGUACUUCUAGGGCUUUUCUAAAAGAAAAUAAUUCUGCUUACCAUUUCUACUGUCAAACUAAAAAGAUAUGCGUGUGGGAAUUUGUAACUGCUAUUUCACAUAAAGGCAAGGACAAGCAGGUGAUGCAAGUGGGAGUUGCCCAUAGGCUGCUUUGUUGUCUGGUGAGGUCUGUCCUGCAAAGAGCGUAUGCACCACCCAUAGCACAGACUUGAAGGUUGUUCUCAGUGUGGAAUAUAGUGCAGAUCUGCCUCUGCAGAGGGAAAUUGCUAUGUGGAUCACUAAUUCCUCCAUGUUUGAUGGUCUUCAGGUCUGGAUCACUGCACAUAUAUGCAUACAUCCCUGUUUUACGUCUGCAUCCUUUUGUGCUCCAUAGCGAUAUGCUGUAUUCACAUGUACCCACAUUCAAAAUCUGCACGUCUAUUGCAAACACUCCUUUGUACAUGACUCUGUCCAUCAAGCUGGAAUUGUGCAGGAAGUCAGAUGGGCUUAUUAUUACACAGCUUGGCUUAAAAUCUGGUUAUAUUUGCAUUUAAGUUUAUUUUGUCACACAGUGCUACUUGAUAUUAUAUGAAUAAAUCAUCUAUAAGCUAGAAAACACAUCAAAAUCAAGGGAACAAAGUCAGUUGCAUUAUUAAAGAGAGAAAAUAAUUUGACAUGAAAGGCUUUUUAGAGACAAUACAGCCUGUCUGAUUUACUAAUGUGCACAGAAGUUAAUAUAUUAUUCAGCCUUGCUACCACCUGACAGCUAUUCUGCAUCUGAUGGGAGAUGUGACUGUGCUCGUAGUCCAGUUCAUAGUGGACAGGUGUUGACAUCACAAAAAUCAUCAUUAGAAAUGGCACUAAUUGGCACCUUUGUUGACAACCUCAGCAGAGAGACCAGUGAUUGAACCAGCAUAGAGGCUGUCUUGCAAGCUCUGCUGGUGAGGGAUACUGGGCUCAGCUCUUCCUUUUCUGAAAUCACCCUGAGUAUUGCACAUACUUCAGGUCCUGAUUAUAUUUGCCUGUAAAUUCUAUGUGCAAGCACACUGCCAUGGCAUACACCUUGAAGUGAUGCCCCCAUACAUAGUGGGCACUGAAACCUGCCCUCCAAAUUUGGCCAACAUAAGAGACCGGGGACUUAUGCUUGUGAGGAAACAGGACCAAAGCAGAUGGAACCAAAGACUGUGGCUGCUGCAGCCACAUAUUAUCCACUCAGGGCUCCAUUUCACUCAGGCUUUUAUCUAUUUUAGUUUAUUUUAGAUGGAACUGUGGGUUGGUGGACUUCUACUGGCCACUUUAGACCUCCAUGCCUCAGUUUAUUCUUUCAUAUGAGGGUCACAAUGUUUGUCUCAGUCUCAGGUAUAGUUAGGUGUUGCUAAUUAAAGAAUGCAAUGAAGAAUUUUAACAGGUUUGAUGAAAGUCAGUAAACACAUUAAAACUCAGGCUUCACUUUUAUAGGAACACUGCUUUCUUUACAAUGCAUUUGAAUUGUAGGCAGUUACUAUUGCAUGCAUCCUUUUUGCAUUUAGCCAUCUUUCCAUUCACUCUGUUGAAUAUUAAGGUUUUUAUUCCUCUUAGCCUGGAUUGUUCAAAUUAGUGCUUAAAACUAAUUUUUCUUUGGUAUACAGAAACCUAUAUUAUUUGUGGGUUAAUUAUCUCUUUUUUUAGCUCUAGAGAAAUGCAAUGUAGGUCAAUAAUGUGACUGUAAGAUUUGAGAACAUUGUUAUGGUAAUAAAAAGAAGUAAAAAAUG